Molecule: ribosomal RNA, 497 nt
Filed under: uncultured bacterium
Lineage: Bacteria
Description: partial 16S ribosomal RNA
Rfam family: Bacterial small subunit ribosomal RNA
Source: RNAcentral
GAUGAACGCUGGCGGCGUGCCUAAUACAUGCAAGUAGAACGCUGAAGGAAGGAGCUUGCUCUUUCCGGAUGAGUUGCGCACGGGUGAGUAACGCGUAGGUAACCUGCCUGGUAGCGGGGGAUAACUAUUGGAAACGAUAGCUAAUACCGCAUAACAGUAGAUGUUGCAUGAUAUCUACUUAAAAGGUGCAAUUGCACCACUACCAGAUGGACCUGCGUUGUAUUAGCUAGUUGGUGAGGUAACGGCUCACCAAGGCGACGAUACAUAGCCGACCUGAGAGGGUGAUCGGCCACACUGGGACUGAGACACGGCCCAGACUCCUACGGGAGGCAGCAGUAGGGAAUCUUCGGCAAUGGACGGAAGUCUGACCGAGCAACGCCGCGGGAGUGAAGAAGGUUUUCGGAUCGUAAAGCUCUGUUGUAAGAGAAGAACGAGUGUGAGAGUGGAAAGUUCACACUGUGACGGUAUCUUACCAGAAAGGGACGGCUAACUACGUG